Molecule: transfer RNA, 38 nt
Filed under: Canis aureus (golden jackal)
Lineage: Eukaryota; Metazoa; Chordata; Mammalia; Carnivora; Canidae
Description: partial tRNA-Pro
Source: RNAcentral
AUUUCAGCUUUGGGUGCUGAUGGUGGAGCAAGAGCUUC